AUUGAACGCUGGCGGCAUGCCUAACACAUGCAAGUCGAACGCGAAAGAGGGGCAACCCUUGAGUAGAGUGGCGGACGGGUGAGUAAUACGUAGGAAUCUGCCCUAGAGUGGGGGAUAACCUGUCGAAAGACGGGCUAAUACCGCAUAUACUCUGAGGAGCAAAGGUGGCUAGCAAUAGCUUUCGCUUUAGGAGGAGCCUACGUCGGAUUAGCUAGUUGGUAGGGUAAUGGCCUACCAAGGCAACAAUCCGUAGCUGGUCUGAGAGGACGAUCAGCCACACUGGAACUGAGAAACGGUCCAGAAUCCUACGGGAGGCAGCAGUGGGGAAUAUUGGACAAUGGGGGAAACCCUGAUCCAGCAAUGCCGCGUGUGCGAUGAAGGCCUGUGGGUUGUAAAGCACUUUCGUUGGGGAAGAAAUUCUCAAAGAUAAUAUCUUUGAGAGCUGACGUUACCCAAAGAAGAAGCACCGGCAAACACUGUGCCAGCCGCCGCAGUAA
Molecule: ribosomal RNA, 497 nt
Filed under: uncultured bacterium
Lineage: Bacteria
Description: partial 16S ribosomal RNA
Rfam family: Bacterial small subunit ribosomal RNA
Source: RNAcentral